This 486-nucleotide ribosomal RNA is filed under the name uncultured bacterium. RNAcentral's name for it is "bacterial SSU rRNA". It matches the Rfam family "Bacterial small subunit ribosomal RNA", at positions 338 to 822 of the family's 1533-position model. The record is from RNAcentral.
CCUACGGGAGGCAGCAGUAAGGAAUAUUGGUCAAUGGAGGCAACUCUGAACCAGCCAUGCCGCGUGCAGGAUGACGGCCCUAUGGGUUGUAAACUGCUUUUAUACAAGAGAAAACCCUGGUACGUGUACCAGGUUGAUAGUAUUGUAAGAAUAAGCAUCGGCUAACUUCGUGCCAGCAGCCGCGGUAAGACGAAGGAUGCAAGCGUUAUCCGGAUUCAUUGGGUUUAAAGGGUGCGUAGGCGGACUGAUAAGUCAGUGGUGAAAUCUCUUUGCUUAACAAGAAACUGCCAUUGAUACUGUCGGUCUAGAGUAUAGAUGACGUUGGCGGAAUAUGACAUGUAGUGGUGAAAUACUUAGAUAUGUCAUAGAACACCGAUUGCGAAGGCAGCUAACGAAACUAUAACUGACGCUGAGGCACGAAAGUGCGGGGAUCAAACAGGAUUAGAUACCCUGGUAGUCCGCACCGUAAACGANNAUACUCGUGUG